GGCCCUUUAGCUCAGUGGUAAGAGCAGGCGGCUCAUAACCGCAUGGUCGCUGGUUCAAUUCCAGCAAGGGCCAUCA
Molecule: transfer RNA, 76 nt
Filed under: Salmonella enterica
Lineage: Bacteria; Pseudomonadati; Pseudomonadota; Gammaproteobacteria; Enterobacterales; Enterobacteriaceae
Also listed under: 1 other name
Description: tRNA-Met
Rfam family: tRNA
About the family: Transfer RNA (tRNA) molecules are approximately 80 nucleotides in length. Their secondary structure includes four short double-helical elements and three loops (D, anti-codon, and T loops).
Source: RNAcentral